Molecule: ribosomal RNA, 497 nt
Filed under: uncultured bacterium
Lineage: Bacteria
Description: partial 16S ribosomal RNA
Rfam family: Bacterial small subunit ribosomal RNA
Source: RNAcentral
GAUGAACGCUGGCGGCGUGCCUAAUACAUGCAAGUCGAGCGAACAGACGAGGAGCUUGCUCCUCUGACGUUAGCGGCGGACGGGUGAGUAACACGUGGAUAACCUACCUAUAAGACUGGGAUAACUUCGGGAAACCGGAGCUAAUACCGGAUAAUAUAUUGAACCGCAUGGUUCAAUAGUGAAAGACGGUUUUGCUGUCACUUAUAGAUGGAUCCGCGCCGCAUUAGCUAGUUGGUAAGGUAACGGCUUACCAAGGCGACGAUGCGUAGCCGACCUGAGAGGGUGAUCGGCCACACUGGAGCUGAGACGCGGUCCAGACUCCUACGGGAGGCAGCAGUAGGGAAUCUUCCGCAAUGGGCGAAAGCCUGACGGAGCAACGCCGCGUGAGUGAUGAAGGUCUUCGGAUCGUAAAACUCUGUUAUUAGGGAAGAACAAAUGUGUAAGUAACUAUGCACGUCUUGACGGUACCUGAUCAGAAAGCCACGGCUAACUACGUG